UACGUAGGUGGCAAGCGUUGUCCGGAAUUAUUGGGCGUAAAGCGCGCGCAGGCGGUCCUUUUAAGUCUGAUGUGAAAGCCCACGGCUCAACCGUGGAGGGUCAUUGGAAACUGGGGGACUUGAGUACAGAAGAGGAAAGCGGAAUUCCACGUGUAGCGGUGAAAUGCGUAGAGAUGUGGAGGAACACCAGUGGCGAAGGCGGCUUUCUGGUCUGUAACUGACGCUGAGGCGCGAAAAGCGUGGGGAGCAAACAGG
This 255-nucleotide ribosomal RNA is filed under the name uncultured bacterium. Its description in RNAcentral is "partial 16S ribosomal RNA". It matches the Rfam family "Bacterial small subunit ribosomal RNA", at positions 524 to 776 of the family's 1533-position model. The record is from RNAcentral.